UCUAGAAUAGCUUAAAACUUUAAAGCGCUGACCUUGUAACUCAGAGAUAAUUUAAAAUUUUCUAGAU
RNAcentral lists this transfer RNA (67 nucleotides) under Notodoris gardineri. Its description in RNAcentral is "tRNA-Thr". It matches the Rfam family "tRNA". From Rfam's summary of the family: Transfer RNA (tRNA) molecules are approximately 80 nucleotides in length. Their secondary structure includes four short double-helical elements and three loops (D, anti-codon, and T loops). The record is from RNAcentral. Lineage: Eukaryota; Metazoa; Mollusca; Gastropoda; Nudibranchia; Polyceridae.